Molecule: long non-coding RNA, 945 nt
Organism: Panicum hallii
Lineage: Eukaryota; Viridiplantae; Streptophyta; Magnoliopsida; Poales; Poaceae
Exons: 4
Source: RefSeq, a predicted model, not a curated record
UCAUCAAAUAUCGGUAUUGUUGCACGCUAACAGUAUCCAUUUGCAGUCCAUCUACUUCUCCCGAGCCCGAGCGCGAAGAGGUUGGAACGGAUCCAUCAACUUCUGCGACAGGAGCGGAUCCAUUUGCUUCUACGACAAAAGCGGUAACCAUCACCGUGGCGGGCACCACGCCACCAGCUGGUGUGACCCCGCCGCCAGCGACGGGUACCGUGGUUGAGACGCCACGGGCUAUGAGGGUGAAGAAAGCUGUCAUGAAGAAGUCUUCACUGUCUGUGACUGCCAGGGGGUUUAAACCAAAGCCUGUGUCGGCUACUCCAGCCCCUGAGCCGCCAGCCCCAGAAGGGCCCGCGCCCAAGGGACCAGCCCCCGAGACGGACACGCACUGCCCGACCUGCCACCUCCCGAGCCCCAGCAAGCUGAAGCUAGAGCUGGUGGUGAGGAACAUGUCGAGGCCCCUGCAGCCACUCCUGCAGGUGGCACAGGCGGCCAGCAACCACCUUCUGAAAGAAACGUAGGGACCUCAAGGAGGCCUGGAGACCUGCUGAUAGCCGGACGCGGAUACCAGAACGUCAUCACCACAGAUCUGGUGGAUGAUCCAAUGCUGUUGGACGACAACAUAAAAACCUUCAAGAAGGCCUACAAAGAGUUGUACGAUUCUGCCCUGAAUGUGAUCAGGCACUCGUAAAAGAAGACCAAAAAACUAAAAGUAGUCGUGAGUGGCCACCAGGAGCUUGCCACCAAGGAAAAACACAUAUCCCAAGAGCAGACGAAGAACUGCUAUCUUCAGAGAGAACUUGACCAGCUGAAGCAAGAGCGGACUUGAGAGACGUGGCUCCUUAAGAACGAUCUGCGCAAUCUUGAGGAACAGGUCAAGGAACAAAAGAAGGCGCACCAAGGCAAGCCCUUACUUCCCUCGAGUACUUCCACUUAACAAUUUAUCUUGGA